UAAGCUCCUUAAUGUGCGGAAAGGA
This 25-nucleotide unclassified non-coding RNA is filed under the name Mus musculus (house mouse). RNAcentral's name for it is "oocyte_clustered_small_RNA1948". The record is from RNAcentral. Lineage: Eukaryota; Metazoa; Chordata; Mammalia; Rodentia; Muridae.